AACCAUUCUCACCUGCGGCUAGACCUGCGGAAGGAUCAUUACAUGGCGGAGAAGGUGGGCACCUGGGCAACCCCAGGUGUGAUGCCUUCACGCUUCUCUACCCUUGUCUAUUUGCACCUUUUGUCGUUCCCUCGGCGGGUCUCGAUCCGCCGGCGGCAACAUUACAAACCUCUUGCAGUAGUAUCCAAACUCUUCUGAUCAAAUAUCAAAUCGUUACAACUUUUAACAACGGAUCUCAGA
Molecule: unclassified non-coding RNA, 240 nt
Filed under: soil metagenome
Description: partial contains 5.8S ribosomal RNA, internal transcribed spacer 2, and large subunit ribosomal RNA
Source: RNAcentral